Labrus bergylta (ballan wrasse) is the source of this 2486-nucleotide non-coding RNA. The record is from RefSeq and is a predicted model, not a curated record. NCBI's taxonomy places the organism in Eukaryota, Metazoa, Chordata, Actinopteri, Labriformes, Labridae.
CGAUCUGCUCUGUCGUUAUUGGUCAGUUGCUCAGAACGCUUCUCGGAAAUUUCACGCCCCUUUUACCAUAUUGGGAAGUCUGCAGCUCCGGCUUCGAGGGCAGCAAAAACACCGUGAGACCCGGAGUCUGAAACCGAAGGAGAGGAUGAACAACCAUCACAACCUUUGCCACGACGGCUGGAGCAGGACGUUUCAGUGUGCAAAAUGCCUACAGAAGCAGAAAAGGUGUGCUGCAGAGAAAUACCACAGGUCAUUUUUACAAGUACGCUGUACAGGGGUGUAACACCUGUUCCUUCCACCUGCAUGACUCAACAUCCGGGGCUAGAAGCAAACAGUCUUAACCCAUAUACACUCCAAAAUAUACACAACAUUCUUCCAGUGGACUACGGGCCUUUGAGAGGGAGAACAGCAGAAGAGCUUUACAGACACUUGGCCUAUCGUAGCUGUGUGAGCUGGUGCUGGGGAUAUUUGGGACGCAACUGCAGAGUAGUCAUCCCGUCGUGUGUUGUCCUGAGGAUCCGGCUUGAGUUUCCAGACCCGACCGGACAGUAUCUUGGCUUCCGCCCGCCGCUUGGCUGAACCUGGACUUGUGUCAAGCCACUACUUCCUCUUUUGAGGGACAAAGUCUGAGGCAAGAUCCUUGAGGACUGGUAUUCUCUGAAGCUCCUCAAGAAAUGAUGCGAGGUCCGGGAACCUCUUCAAACACCAGUGCAAUCAAAUCGGCUGUCCUGUAGAGGUUGUUGCUUGCUCGCGUUCAGCAUUUUCAUUGUAAUGAAUCACUGACAGAAACAACCUACAAUACAAAAAGGGAGACACAAGGGAUGUCUUCAUGUGCUCAACUCUUCACACAGCACAUGCAGGUGACAGUCCAGAGGAGAGUCAAAGGUGCAGAUGGUCGCUGGGAAUUGAAGGAUGUUCCUGUUCCCCGAGCUGUCAAAGACUACAACCGGUGCAAAAGUGGGGUCUAGCUCCACAGCCAGAACCAUACAAACUCCUCCUCCAAGUGGAACACACCAUAGGCCAGUGCACAUCAGCAUGGACCGCACCAUUGGUCGGCGAAAGUGCAAGUAUUGUCACAAAAAGACCCCAUUGAAAUGUGCCUCAUAUGAUGUGCCCUUGUGCUUUAUUCCCAAGAGAGACUGUUAUAAUGACUGGCAUGUUGCAAAUAACUUGUAGGAUGUCACUCAUAAAGAUAGUUUGUAAAUAAUGUAAAUAUGUGUGUUUUCUAAAGUUUGCUGUGUUGCAAGAGUUUUCCACAAUAACACUUGUUUCUACUCAUUUUUUACACAGAACGGUAAUGCACGAAGCUAGAAAAAUGCACUUUAAAUGUGUUUAUGCUUCUAUAAAUCUAUUUCAGCAAUACUGAUAGUGAUUCUGAGUAUUGUAUAGCGUAGCUCUAAUUGUUACCUUUUCAUAGAGCCAAGAAUGAUGCAUGUACGUCAAAGCGUUCAGGAGUAGCAGCCUUUUUAUCCCAGGUAUGUCAUCAUGGUUACCAAGGGUCCUUUUGGAGUCUCCAAAUGGCACAGUUUGGAAACGCCUUGACAUACCCAUAGAAAAACAGCAAAUUUGUCAAAUUUGGACUGAAACUAGGUAAGGCUUUAUGACACAGCCCAAAUCACCUUUCAAGCUAAUAGCGCCCAGCUGUAGUCAUCUAUUGGCUUAUUUUUAAAGAAAAUAUUCAGGCGGAAACAAAAUUAUUUUUUUAUUUGUAGUUUCAGCUUGUAUUAUUCAAUACCAGUCGUAAAAACUGUGAUUAUGGCUGUUUGGGAAGAAACUACAGAGUGUUACCUUUCAAAUGUGACCUUGUUUGAGCUGUAACUCUAAAUGGUUCAAAAACAGCAUACAAUUUGCUUUGGGUAUGUCUGGAUAGGCGUUUUUUGGCAUUAUUUUGCAAGAUCUCUAAGAAGUUAUUAAAGGUGAGGAGCAGAAUCUUGAAGUCGAUGUGAUUAAUGGAGGGGGGUCACAAGAGGAUGCAAGCAGCAGAGUUCUGGACCAGUUGAAGUUUGUGGUUGGACUUGAGAGGGGGAACAGUGAGGAUGGGAGAUUUAAAAAGGGUGUGAACGAUGAUGGAGGUACUGUUGGAUGUGAUGGACGGGCGGAGGUGAUUUAAGUUACGUAGAUGGAAAUAAGCGGGCCGAGUGACAUUAUUGAUGUGAGCUCUGAAGGAUAGUGUGCUGUCGAGGAGGACACUCAGACUCUAAACCUGAGGGGAGAGAGAAACUGAGGAGUGAUCAACAGGGAGAGAAAAACUGUCAGGUUUUGAAAUUGUGGAUUUGGUGCCGAUUAGGAGAACCUCGGUUUUGUCAUGCUGUUUCUUUCUUAUGAAAAACAAUUUUCAAAAGACAAACAAGGAUGAUAAGUGAGACUUUUGAUAAGAAGAAACUGAAAAUCUGAAGGAAUAUUUUAUUGAUUCUGAGAAAAAUAAUCUUUAAUGUUUAAAUAUGUUUAUAGUCUGAAUUGUAUGUGUAAUAAAUGAAUUAACUUAA